This 253-nucleotide ribosomal RNA is filed under the name uncultured bacterium. Its description in RNAcentral is "partial 16S ribosomal RNA". It matches the Rfam family "Bacterial small subunit ribosomal RNA", at positions 524 to 776 of the family's 1533-position model. The record is from RNAcentral.
UACGAAGGGGGCUAGCGUUGCUCGGAAUCACUGGGCGUAAAGCGCGCGCAGGCGGUCAUUUACGUCUGGGGUGAAAGCCCGGAGCUCAACUCCGGGAUUGCCUUGGAUACGGGAUGACUUGAGGAUCGGAGAGGCAAGGGGAAUUCCACGUGUAGCGGUGAAAUGCGUAGAGAUGUGGAGGAACACCUGUGGCGAAGGCGCCUUGCUGGCCGAUUUCUGACGCUGAGGCGCGAAAGCGUGGGGAGCAAACAGG